UCCGCACAGAAGGGAUAGGGUGCUGCCCAGACAGGUGGCGAACUGGGUGCAAAUCCCAGGCUGACCCGCAACCGUGACCGGAGUCCCGCACUCCGGCGAGCCGGACCAAAACCUGUUCCAGGAAUCAGUA
RNAcentral lists this non-coding RNA (130 nucleotides) under Tessaracoccus sp. The record is from RNAcentral. Lineage: Bacteria; Bacillati; Actinomycetota; Actinomycetes; Propionibacteriales; Propionibacteriaceae.